AGAGUUUGAGUCCUGGCGUCAGGACGAACGCUGGCGGCGUGCUUAACACAUGCAAGUCGAACGGGGCUGAUUAGCUUGCUAGAAAGCCCAGUGGCAAACGGGUGAGUAACGCGUAGGCAACCUGCCGCGGAGAUGGGGACAACACCCCGAAAGGGGUGCUAAUACCGAAUGAAGUACGAGGGACGCAUGUCCCCGUGUACCCAAAGGGCGAAAAGCCCGCUCCGCGAUGGGCCUGCGUCCGAUUAGCUGGUUGCGGGGCAGCGGCCCACCAAGGCGACGAUCGGUAGCCGGUCUGAGAGGAUGAACGGCCACAUUGGGACUGAGACACGGCCCAGACUCCUACGGGAGGCAGCAGUGGGGAAUCUUCCGCAAUGGGCGAAAGCCUGACGGAGCAACGCCGCGUGAGUGAAGAAGGCCUUCGGGCCGUAAAGCUCUGUUGCCGGGGACGAGUGCCCGGGUUGGAAGCCCGGGAGGGACGGUACCUGGCGAGGAAGCCGCGGCUAACUACGUGCC
Molecule: ribosomal RNA, 513 nt
Filed under: uncultured bacterium
Lineage: Bacteria
Description: bacterial SSU rRNA
Rfam family: Bacterial small subunit ribosomal RNA
Source: RNAcentral